RNAcentral lists this ribosomal RNA (505 nucleotides) under uncultured fungus. RNAcentral describes it as "eukaryotic LSU rRNA". The stretch from base 148 to 299 matches the Rfam family "5.8S ribosomal RNA". The record is from RNAcentral. Lineage: Eukaryota; Fungi.
AAGUCGUAACAAGGUAUCCGUAGGUGAACCUGCGGAUGGAUCAUUAACAGUAUUAUUUUAUACUUUAACACUUGUGAACCGUAUGAGAGUCUUUCUCUCAAUUUAUUAUACUAUUAGACUGAAACCACUUUAUAUACACAAUUAUAAAACUUUUAGCAACGGAUCUCCGGCUCUCGCAACGAUGAAGAACGCAGCGAAUUGCGAAAAGUAAUGUGAAUUGCAUAUACCGUGAAUCAUCAAAUCUUUGAACGCACCUUGCACCAUUGGGAACUCCCGAUGGUACGUCUGUUUGAGUAUCAAUCAACACCUGCAAACUUUGCUUUUAACCGAGCCAUAAUUUGCAUAUCGAUUGGAUAGUUAUAUUACUACCGAUUUAGAUACAUAGUCUAGCCACGCUAGUCAACAGAGAUUAACACUUCUGAGUGACGAAUGUAGCAGCAUGACUGGGCUUCUUGAAGCCUUUAACUUUGAUCUCAAAUCAGACGAGGAUACCCGCUGAACUUAA